RNAcentral lists this ribosomal RNA (867 nucleotides) under Triticum aestivum (bread wheat). Its description in RNAcentral is "partial small subunit ribosomal RNA". The record is from RNAcentral. Lineage: Eukaryota; Viridiplantae; Streptophyta; Magnoliopsida; Poales; Poaceae.
AUGGUGUUUCUGGGCUGGCUCAAAUGGAGGACGAAGGAGCAGCUACAGACCGACAAGAAGGUGACCAGCGUUUUCGUGCUGAAUCUCCGACGAGGUCCCCCGGAUGGACUAAAAGACCGAGUGCCAUGCCCAUCGAGGAUGAGCGCUCUCGAGGUUUCAAUCCUCAAAUAUGCAGAGCAGCCUGACAAGAGCGUUGUUAGACCUGAGCUAGGACUCAGUUUUGAUUCGUUGGGCGAGGCAUAUGAUUUCUAUAACCUAUAUUCUUGGGAAUUAGGUUUUGGCAUAAGAUAUGGAAAAAGCAGACUCAACGCCGAGAGGACAAAAGGCAUGCAGGAAAUAGUUUGUGGUUGCUCGGGGAAACCGGAAACCGGAAACAGUCAGUCCUGCAUAUGUGAGUUCCCAGCUCUGAUCAGGCUUCUGCGUGCAUCUAACAACAGCUGGUACAUAACAGAGCAUCGAGCGAGUCACAACCAUUCCAUGUCGCUGACAAUGGGAGAGAAAGUGCACUGGCCUUCUCAUAAACACAUAGAUAUAUACACUAAGCAUUUGAUAAAGCAACUGAGGGAAAACAAUGUUAACCUUGGGAAGGUAUACAGCAUAGUUGGGAGCUUCUUUGGUUCGGUCAAGAAGGUCCCUUUCACGAAGAGGACGCUCAGGAGUAUUUGUGGGAAGAUUAGCCGUGAACAGGCUGAAGACGAUGUCCAAAAGACACUUGAGGCGUUCGCUGACAUCCAGGCCAAUACCAUUGCCAAACUGAUUUUGAAUUUUUUUGAACGGGUCGCCGGCAUCCGAUGGGAGGUUCUCUCGCUGAAUCGGCAAGUAGUGGCACAACCAGAGGGGCGGGGCAUGAUGCGUUCGUGGGAUUGA